RNAcentral lists this ribosomal RNA (473 nucleotides) under Amphistegina lobifera. Its description in RNAcentral is "SSU rRNA". It matches the Rfam family "Eukaryotic small subunit ribosomal RNA", at positions 1176 to 1624 of the family's 1831-position model. Lineage: Eukaryota; Foraminifera; Rotaliida; Amphisteginidae. The record is from RNAcentral.
GUGGAGCAUGUGGCUUAAUUUGACUCAACGCGGGGAAUCUUACUAGGUCCGGACCGAGUCUAUGAACGUCGUACCGUUGGGUGCUACGUGAUUACUGGAUGAGUGGUGCAUGGCCGUUCUUAGUUCGUGGUGUUAAUUGUCUACUUAAUUGUUUCGAUUUUUAGUCUCGCGGCUAAGAUCUAUGCAACGAACGAGAUCGAGACCCGUGGUUUACGUCUUAGGUUAUUUGUGUACGACGUUUAAACAACGGGGAUCGCGUAAUACUCAACGGUACGAUCGAAAGACUCGGCAAUAACAGGUCUGUGAUGCCCUCAGAUGUUCUAGGCUGCAAACGUGCUACAUUGUGAGUUGUAGUAUAUUGUGUAUGCGUAGAUAUGUCUAAGAUCCCCCGCAUCGAGUCUCAAUUACUCACGUGGUUGGACUCACCGAUUGUCAAUUAUUCGGUAUACUAACUAGGAAUGCCUCGUACGGGA